GCAUGGACGCCUGGCCAAUAGUAGUGUGUGAAUGCUGUUGAAGGGUGGGCCUUUCCUAGAGGUUGCGUGGUUUAAUAAUAACGCAAAACAAC
This is a long non-coding RNA of Etheostoma cragini (Arkansas darter), 92 nucleotides long. RefSeq lists it as uncharacterized. The transcript is spliced from 3 exons. The record is from RefSeq and is a predicted model, not a curated record. Lineage: Eukaryota; Metazoa; Chordata; Actinopteri; Perciformes; Percidae.